Long non-coding RNA from Oryctolagus cuniculus (rabbit), 2084 nucleotides. NCBI's taxonomy places the organism in Eukaryota, Metazoa, Chordata, Mammalia, Lagomorpha, Leporidae. The record is from Ensembl.
CAGUCAAAGCAAGCUGUGGGUCUGGGGGCUUAUGAUUGUUUUUCUAUCUCUGAAAUAAACGAAAAGGGGGAAAUGUGGUGGAAUGAGAAGGUCAUGCCAAGAUGGCUACUGGCAACAGAAACUGCCUGGCAACAGGCCAUGACUGGAUGGCUUCGGAAACCACAUGACAGUAGAGCCUGACUGACAACAGGCCGUGAUUGGAUGGUUUCGGAAACUGCCUGGCAACAGGCUGUGAUUGGUUAGGGCAUAGACCGCCCCUUGACCGGAUUGGCUGCCUUGGCUAUAUAAGCAGCUGUAGCACCUGAAAUAAAUGAGUCUGCGGGCUGCUUGCCUCAGGCCUGCUUUCACCUGGUUUCCGGGGUCUGUGUGGUGACUCCGCGCCUCUUUCCCCCCACCACACUCCUCCUCUCGGAAACGAAUCCAUGGCAACAAUAUCCCAGGACACUAUUGAUUGUGUUGUUCCCUGGAAAACCAGGUUCAUCUUGUGUUUUGUUUCCUGGAUACUCAGACUAUCCACGUGUCAUUUCCUGGGAAGGCUGAGUUGUGUGUGUUAUUUAGGAGAGGCCUGGGUCUGUGUUGUUUCCUCAGAUGCUAUGGUCUGCACCUGUGAUUUUCAUGAGUGGUCAGGAUCUGCAUGUUUAUAUUGGUUCCUGCCCAGAAUUCGUGUGUUGUUUUCUUGAAAGACAGGGACUGUAUGUGUGUUGUUUUCUGGGAGAUCAGAGUCUACAUGUGUUUUGAACCCUGAGAGACUUGAAUCUGUUUAUGUUGUUUCCAGGAAUUCCAGGAUCUGUGGUUGUGUUUUUUCUUAGAGGCCAGAGUCUAUGAAUGUGUUGUUUCUGGGAGGCCAGGGUCUGUGUGUAUUAUGUUUCCUGGGAGGUCCAAAUCUAUGUAUUGUUUCCUGGGAGGUCAGGGUCAUUGUGUGUGUUGUUUCCUGUGAUGCCCUUGUCCGCAUGUGUGUUGUUUCCAGGGGGAACAGGGUCUGUGUGUGUGUGUGGUUUCCUGGGAGUCAGGGCCUACGUUUGCUUUGAUCCUGGGAAGUGUGAGUCUGUUUAUAUUGUCUCUGUAAUCCCAGGGUCUGUGGUUGUGUUUUUCCCUCGACAGCCAGGGUCUGCCUGCAUUUUGUUUCCUGGUAGGUCAGGGGCCUGCCUGUGCUGAUUCAUAGGAUCCCCAUGUCCGUGCCUGUGUUGUUCACUGGAGCCCAGCAUUGGCUUGUGUUCUGUUCCUGCAAAGCAUGGCCCUUCCAAAAAAACAACACAUGCACAAUCAUGGUUUCCCAGCUAAAAAUACACACAGAUAUGGAUCUCCCAGGAAACAGCACCUGCACAGUCCCUGGACCCCCAGGAAACACACGUACAGACCCUGGCAUCUUUGAAAAAAAAAAAAACACAUACAGACCUGGAACUCCCAGGCACACGUGUAGACCCAGGCAUCAAGGAAACAAGACACAAUGACACUGACCUACCCAGAACAAAACACACACAGAGCCUGUCCUCCCAGGAAACAACACAUAUACACCCUGAAUUCCCAGGAGCAAACCACAUGCAGAUGCUUGUAUCUACUAAACAACAUGUGUGCAGACCCUGUGGGUCUGUGUCUAUUUCCUGGCAUGCCGGGGUUUGUACCUGCGUUGUUUUUGGGAGGUCAGGCUCUGCACGUGUUUGUUUCCUGAAAGACAAGAAUCCAUGUGUGUGUUAUUUCCUGGGAUACCAGGGUCUGUGCUGGUGUUGCUUUGAGGGGCCAGGAUCUGCAUGUGUGUUGCUUCCUGGGAGACCAGUGUAGAAUGGUUCUUAUUUACUGGGAGGCCAUGAUCUGUGUGUGUCUUCUUGGUUUCUUUGUCGGGGGAGAAGGGCUAUGUUUGUGUUUGGUUUCCUGGCAGGUCAGGGUCUCUGUUUUUUCAGGAGGAAGAAAGGCCAGCAUAUGUGUUUUUGUUUCCUGGGAUGCCAGGUUUUGUGGGUGUGUGUGUGUGUGUGUGUGUGUGUUGUCUCUUUGAAGGCAGGGUCUGCCUGUGUUUGUUUCCUGAGAGUUCAGGGCUUGCAUGUGUAUAGCUAAGAUGCCAGAGUGGCACAUGUGAUGCUAUCCAGAAA